GCCCACAACACCUUGCUCAGCCACACCCCCAAGGGUAUACAGCAGUGAUAAAUAUUAAGCCAUAAGUGAAAACUUGACUUAGUUAAAGCUAAAAGGGCCGGUAAAACUCGUGCCAGCCACCGCGGUUAUACGAGAGACCCAAGUUGAUAGACUCAUCGGCGUAAAGGGUGGUUAAGAGUAAACUAAAACUAAAGCUGAACAUCUUCAAAGCAGUCAUACGCCCCCGAAGAUAAGAAACUCAACUACGAAAGUGGCUUU
Molecule: ribosomal RNA, 258 nt
Filed under: Maccullochella macquariensis
Lineage: Eukaryota; Metazoa; Chordata; Actinopteri; Centrarchiformes; Percichthyidae
Description: partial 12S ribosomal RNA
Source: RNAcentral